Molecule: ribosomal RNA, 835 nt
Filed under: uncultured archaeon
Lineage: Archaea
Description: bacterial SSU rRNA
Rfam family: Archaeal small subunit ribosomal RNA
Source: RNAcentral
ACGGCUCAGUAACACGUGGAUAAUCUGCCCUUAGGUGGAGGAUAAUCUCGGGAAACUGAGGAUAAUACUCCAUAGAUCUAGGAUGUUGGAAUGCAUCUAGAUUGAAAGCUCCGGCGCCUAAGGAUGAGUCUGCGGGCUAUCAGGUUGUAGUCAGGGUAAAGACCUGACUAGCCUACGACGGAUACGGGUUGUGAGAGCAAUAACCCGGAGACGAUAUCUGAGACACGAUACCGGGCCCUACGGGGCGCAGCAGGCGCGAAAACUUCACACUGUGCGAAAGCGCGAUGAGGGAAUCCCAAGUGUUUGCUCGUAAGAGUAAACUGUUUCUUUGUUUAAAACGCAGAGAGAGUAAGGGCUGGGUAAGACGGGUGCCAGCCGCCGCGGUAAUACCUGCAGCUCAAGUGGUGAUCAUUAUUAUUGGGCCUAAAACGUCCGUAGCCGGUUUAGUAAAUGCCUGGGUAAAUCGUGUAGCUUAACUAUACGACUUCCGGGUAGACUGCUAAACUUGAGACCGGGAGAGGCUAGAGGUACUCCUGGGGUAGAGGUGAAAUUCUGUAAUCCUAGGGGGACCACCAGUGGCGAAGGCGUCUAGCUAGAACGGGUCUGACGGUGAGGGACGAAGCCCUGGGGCACAAACCGGAUUAGAUACCCGGGUAGUCCAGGGUGUAAACGCUGCUUGCUUGAUGUUAGUUGGGCUCCGAGCCCAACUAGUGUCGGAGAGAAGUUGUUAAGCAAGCUGCCUGGGAAGUACGGUCGCAAGGCUGAAACUUAAAGGAAUUGGCGGGGGAGCACAGCAACGGGUGGAGCGUGCGGUUUAAUUGGAGUCAACGCCGGG